RNAcentral lists this ribosomal RNA (497 nucleotides) under uncultured bacterium. RNAcentral's name for it is "partial 16S ribosomal RNA". It matches the Rfam family "Bacterial small subunit ribosomal RNA", at positions 28 to 507 of the family's 1533-position model. The record is from RNAcentral.
GACGAACGCUGGCGGCGUGCCUAAUACAUGCAAGUUGAGCGAUGAAGAUUGGUGCUUGCCCCAAUUUGAAGAGCAGCGAACGGGUGAGUAACGCGUGGGGAAUCUGCCUUUGAGCGGGGGACAACAUUUGGAAACGAAUGCUAAUACCGCAUAACAACUUUAAACAUAAGUUUUAAGUUUGAAAGAUGCAAUUGCAUCACUCAAAGAUGAUCCCGCGUUGUAUUAGCUAGUUGGUGAGGUAAAGGCUCACCAAGGCGAUGAUACAUAGCCGACCUGAGAGGGUGAUCGGCCACAGUGGGACUGAGACACGGCCCAAACUCCUACGGGAGGCAGCCGUAGGGAAUCUUCGGCGAUGGACGAAAGUCUGACCGAGCAACGCCGCGUGAGUGAAGAAGGUUGUCGGAUCGUAAAACUCUGUUGGUAGGGAAGAACGUUGGUGAGAGUGGAAAGCUCAUCAAGUGACGGUAACUACCCAGAAAGGGACGGCUAACUACGUG